Molecule: ribosomal RNA, 460 nt
Filed under: uncultured bacterium
Lineage: Bacteria
Description: partial 16S ribosomal RNA
Rfam family: Bacterial small subunit ribosomal RNA
Source: RNAcentral
CCUACGGGCGGCUGCAGUGAGGAAUAUUGGUCAAUGGACGAGAGUCUGAACCAGCCACGUAGCGUGAAGGAUGACUGCCCUAUGUGUUGUAAACUUCUUUUAUAUGGGAGUAAAAUGUUCCACGUGUGGGAUUUUGUAUGUACCAUAUGAAUACGGAUCGGCUAACUCCGUGCCAGCAGCUGCGGUAAUACGGAGGAUCCGAGCGUUAUCCGGAUUUAUUGGGUUUAAAGGGAGCGUAGGUGGAUUGUUAAGUCAGUUGUGAAAGUUUGCGGCUUAACCGGAAAAUUGCAGUUGAAACUGGCAGUCUUGAGUACAGUAGAGGUGGGCGGAAUUCGUGGUGUAGCGGUGAAAUGCUUAGAUAUUACGAAGAACACCGAUUGCGAAGGCAGCUCACUGGACUGUAACUGACACUGAGGCUCGAAAGUGUGGGGAUCAAACAGGAGUAGAUACCCUAGUAGUC